GACAGAGGGUGCAAACGUUGUUCGGAAUUACUGGGCGUAAAGCGCGUGUAGGCGGCCCUGCAAGUCGGAUGUGAAAUCCCACGGCUCAACCGUGGAAGUGCAUUCGAAACUGCAGGGCUAGAGUCCUGGAGAGGAAGGUGGAAUGCUUGGUGUAGAGGUGAAAUUCGUAGAUAUCAAGCGGAACACCGGUGGCGAAGGCGGCCUUCUGGACAGUGACUGACGCGGAGACGCGAAAGCGUGGGGAGCAAACAGG
RNAcentral lists this ribosomal RNA (253 nucleotides) under uncultured bacterium. RNAcentral describes it as "partial 16S ribosomal RNA". It matches the Rfam family "Bacterial small subunit ribosomal RNA", at positions 524 to 776 of the family's 1533-position model. The record is from RNAcentral.